Molecule: long non-coding RNA, 227 nt
Filed under: Capsicum annuum
Lineage: Eukaryota; Viridiplantae; Streptophyta; Magnoliopsida; Solanales; Solanaceae
Description: long non-coding RNA (CANN_LNC008173)
Source: RNAcentral
UGAUAUAUAUUUAUAUUAUGUUGUGCACUAGAUUUUAAAUGAUUUGUUUAUUAUGGAUCAUUUCUUCACUUUAUCCUUUAUCCAUGUCUUACAUGUUAGUGCAUAAACCGUUAACCGUCUUUAGGCAUUGUUUCUCCAUUAGAUGCAGGAACUGGCCAUACUCCUACUUCUCCUAUAUAAUGACUAGGUGAUUUGGGGCAGCUCGUGAGUCAUACUGAAGUUGUGAG